CCUACGGGCGGCUGCAGUGAGGAAUAUUGGUCAAUGGGCUUACGCCUGAACCAGCCAAGUCGCGUGAGGGAAGACUGCCCUAUGGGUUGUAAACCUCUUUUGUCAGGGAGCAACACCGGCUACGUGUAGCCGGACGGAGAGGACCUGAAGACAAAGCAUCGGCUAACUCCGUGCCAGCAGCCGCGGUAAUACGGAGGAUGCGAGCGUUAUCCGGAUUUAUUGGGGUUAAAGGGUGCGUAGGCGGACUGCCAAGUCAGCGGUCAAAUCGCGGGGCUCAACCUCGCUCCGCCGUUGAAACUGGCGUUCUUCAGUGGGCGAGCAGUCUGCGGAAUGCGUGGUGUAGCGGUGAAAUGCAUAGAUAUCACGCAGAACUCCGAUUGCGAAGGCAGCAUACCGGCGCCCACCUGACGCUGACGCACGAAAGCGUGGGUAUCGAACAGGAUUAGAUACCCCUGUAGUC
This 460-nucleotide ribosomal RNA is filed under the name uncultured bacterium. RNAcentral describes it as "partial 16S ribosomal RNA". It matches the Rfam family "Bacterial small subunit ribosomal RNA", at positions 338 to 795 of the family's 1533-position model. The record is from RNAcentral.